Molecule: ribosomal RNA, 253 nt
Filed under: uncultured bacterium
Lineage: Bacteria
Description: partial 16S ribosomal RNA
Rfam family: Bacterial small subunit ribosomal RNA
Source: RNAcentral
UACGAAGGGGGCUAGCGUUGUUCGGAAUCACUGGGCGUAAAGCGCACGUAGGCGGAUCUUUAAGUCAGGGGUGAAAUCCCGAGGCUCAACCUCGGAACUGCCUUUGAUACUGGGGAUCUCGAGUCCGGGAGAGGUGAGUGGAACUGCGAGUGUAGAGGUGAAAUCCGUAAAUAUACGAAGGAACGCCAAAAGCGAAGGCAGCUCUCUGGGUCCCUACCGACGCUGGGGUGCGAAAGCAUGGGGAGCGAACAGG